GAGUUUGAUCGUGGCUCGGGACGAACGCUGGCGGCGUGCCUAACACAUGCAAGUCGAGCGGAGAGGCUCCUUCGGGAGUACUCGAGCGGCGAACGGGUGAGUAACACGUGGGUAAUCUGCCCAGGACACAGGAAUAACCAGUGGAAACGCUGGCUAAUGCCUGAUGAAGUGCCGGCCCUGCGGGGCUUGGUACCAAAGGUAGCUUCGGCCUCCGGUCUUGGAUGAGCCCGCGGCCCAUUAGCUUGUUGGCGGGGUAACGGCCCACCAAGGCGACGAUGGGUAGCUGGUCUGAGAGGACGAUCAGCCACACUGGGACUGAGACACGGCCCAGACUCCUACGGGAGGCAGCAGUGGGGGAAUCUUGCGCAAUGGGCGAAAGCCUGACGCAGCAACGCCGCGUGCGGGAGAAGGCCUCGGUGUAACG
RNAcentral lists this ribosomal RNA (424 nucleotides) under uncultured bacterium. RNAcentral's name for it is "bacterial SSU rRNA". It matches the Rfam family "Bacterial small subunit ribosomal RNA", at positions 9 to 430 of the family's 1533-position model. The record is from RNAcentral.